AGGCUGUAAUGGCUUCAAUAGUGGAACUGGUAUCUUUGAGAUUUCCGGCAUGGGAUCAAUUCCUAGCGGCUGGGCGCGAGUUUACUAGUUGUUUCGAGCAACAAAAUGCAUUUAUGUAUUGUGCCGCGUGCUAAUGGAUAAUUACCUCUUAUUGUCUCGUUUGGUACUGUCGUUAAUUUAGAAUUUGUUAAUUUAUUAGCGGUCUUCAUUAACAGAGACGAUAAGCUUUACAAGACGUGUCCAGGUUCAUUUCAUUAAUCGAUCUUUGCGGGUUUGCCCGUUGGCUGGCGGUAUGAGAAAUCUGCCUGUUUUCAGUCUGGAGCAGUAAUGUAGUAAUAGGCUUAGUUUCACUAGGUCCCGUCUUUACCGUGGUUAGGGGAGUUUCAUCCAGCGACUACAAAGACGACCCGUGAUGGAGGCGGUCUGGAUAGCACUUGUCAGUAAAGUAAUUUGUACAGUGUCGAUUUUAAAAAUUGGGUAAUGGCUUUAGUAAUCACUUACUCUUCAAUGAGGUUGAAGGUACCUUUGGAACCACUAAUU
Molecule: signal recognition particle RNA, 540 nt
Filed under: Tetrapisispora phaffii CBS 4417
Lineage: Eukaryota; Fungi; Ascomycota; Saccharomycetes; Saccharomycetales; Saccharomycetaceae
Description: Fungal signal recognition particle RNA
Rfam family: Fungal signal recognition particle RNA
Source: Rfam by way of RNAcentral